RNAcentral lists this non-coding RNA (21 nucleotides) under Caenorhabditis elegans. Lineage: Eukaryota; Metazoa; Nematoda; Chromadorea; Rhabditida; Rhabditidae. The record is from RNAcentral.
UCAGGUAAGUAAGAAAACUAA